CCAAACUUGGUCAUUUAGAGGAAGUAAAAGUCGUAACAAGGUUUCCGUAGGUAAGUUGAAAGUAUUCUUAACCAUAAAAAUGCUUGAAUAGCAUGCUAACGUUUUUCUUUUUAGGUGAACCUGCGGAAGGAUCAUUACUGAGAGUAACUCAUAAGAGUGCCUCCCGUCCUUUGCAGGCCCCUUGGGGCUUUUUGAUUUUGCUUCGGCGGGGUUACCCCGCCGGAACACCCUCAAAAAAAUCUCGAAAAAAACUGUUCUGUCCGAGAAGUUUUUUGCGAAUAAUCAAAACUUUCAACAACGGAUCUCUUGGUUCUGGCAUCGAUGAAGAACGCAGC
RNAcentral lists this unclassified non-coding RNA (335 nucleotides) under uncultured fungus. Its description in RNAcentral is "partial contains small subunit ribosomal RNA, internal transcribed spacer 1, and 5.8S ribosomal RNA". The stretch from base 1 to 137 matches the Rfam family "Eukaryotic small subunit ribosomal RNA", at positions 1759 to 1831 of the family's 1831-position model. The record is from RNAcentral. Lineage: Eukaryota; Fungi.